AAUAUUCCCGUACUUCUGACUAUUGCGAUGGGGGGACGGAGAAGGCUAGGUGGGCCAGGCGACGGUUGUCCUGGUUCAAGUGCGUAGGCUUGAGAGUUAGGUAAAUCCGGCUCUCUCUAAGGCUGAGACACGACGUCGAGCUACUACGGUAGUGAAGUCAUUGAUGCCAUGCUUCCAGGAAAAGCCUCUAAGCUUCAGAUAGUCAGGAAUCGUACCCCAAACCGACACAGGUGGUCGGGUAGAGAAUACCAAGGCGCUUGAGAGAACUCGGGUGAAGGAACUAGGCAAAAUGGUACCGUAACUUCGGGAGAAGGUACGC
Molecule: ribosomal RNA, 319 nt
Filed under: Vibrio cholerae
Lineage: Bacteria; Pseudomonadati; Pseudomonadota; Gammaproteobacteria; Vibrionales; Vibrionaceae
Description: partial 23S ribosomal RNA
Rfam family: Bacterial large subunit ribosomal RNA
Source: RNAcentral